UGCAAAUCCGAGGUAAGGGUGACUUUGUUCACAAAGAUUUGCAUCCCAUAUGGUGCUGGAAGAUAAAAAUUUAAUUGUGCCUGUGCAGGUUCUUGGGAGCCGCAGGGCUCUGCAGUCUGUUGCUUCCAGAGUUGUUUCUUCUUUAAGGCGAAGGGGUUGAUGCCCUACAGCCUACUGUCCAACAUCUUGCCUUUCUGACCUACAGACUUCUUGGUGACAAAUAGACCACUGACAUUUACUGCAGUUAUAUGUGUUGCUCAUACCUUUUGGAACAGAGGUAGUCAGGGUCUCCUGUUGCCCCUGAAGCUGUUGCAGACUUGGGUCGAUGCAGUUAGAGGAGUGAGGUGGUCGUGCAGACCCUCCUCUCACCGGCACGAAGUCAGGAGCUGCUUGAGAGGAUGGGAGGUCAUCAUCUUCUGUGCCAUUGUGUGGCACGAUGUGGUUUGCCUCUUUCCCAAUGGAAGACUGUGAAGGUUGGGCAUACUGGAACACACGAGCACUGCAGUGCUGAGGAGAUCUGCGUGUGUGUGUGACAGCAUAGGUAUGCCAGCACCUUAAGUGGGGAGAACGUGCACGUGUGUUCCUGCUGGGGAGGUCUGUGCAGGUCUGCACACACACUGACACACAGCCAGGCACAGGAAAUAGAGGGCUGUGAUUGAAUAUUGAUGGUGUUUGAACUAAUUAAUGAGUGGAAGCAAAGCUGAAUGAAUCUCAGAGGUGCUGCACUCCUUCCACAAGCUCUGUCCUUGCCUGUAAGGCCAGGUGUUUAUUUACAUGGAUGCUGAUUUUUGCUCCCUGCCUCCCCCCAGGAGGUCUCUUUACUUGAACAACAGCUGCUUGCCUUCCUGCUGGUAUUUCAACACAGCAAACACCCUGAGGGCAAGGAGGAAUUGUCCCUGCAAACCCCUCUGCACUCUCUGCCCAGAAAACAAGGUCUCAUCAGCAAGCUUACUGUCUGCAACUGUGAUUUUUGCCAUUCUUUGCAAAUUCUUGCCCCUGCUUCAGCACCAAGGCUCUCCCUUUCAGCGCUGUGGUGUUGAGGUUCUGAUGUUCACAGCCUUAAGUCUCUGCACUCCAAGGGUGGUGAAGAAUCUUUGCUCCUGGUCUGCACCCCAUGCAUGGAAAUGACACCUCUUCAUGCAGUUGUGCUUACCUGAUUGAUUCUGGGUGUUGAAGCUAUCUGAGGAGUGGUAGAUGGGGAAUGGCCUUAGGGGCAGAAUUGCUCACCUUGCUUUGCGUUAGGAAAGGUGGUGCAGCCAAAACAGGGCUGCGUCUGAGGGGUUAAGAAAGUGGUGGUGGCUUUUGCUUCCCUUUCCCAGAUGGUGUUUCUGGCAGGAGCAGGGAUGUGUGAGUGCCUGGCUGGAGCUGUGCUGCCCUGCCUGGCCUUGGGGCAGCACCCAGUGCCUGCCCUGCUCAGGACCUUGCCAGGAGCAGAGCUGCUGCUGCCUUGUGGCAGCUUGCCCAGUGAAAAGUAGUAGAAUCGACCGUGCAAUUGUUAAUGAAAAUCACAAGCAGGAAGAUGUAGCCAAGGCCUGUAAUUGCACUAAUUGGUGGCAUCCUCAUGAAUGUGCCAAGAGCCGUUCUCCUGAUCUCAGCCUAGUAAUUCUCAUGUCGUGUUUCAGCAUCUCCUAUGUGAGGAAGAGCCACCUGCCUGCUGGACACGAUCAGUGUGGAAGUUGGUGUAGAGCUGCUCCUUUGUUCUCAGCUGUUGAAAGUUUUCGGUGGAACUCUCUGUGGAGAAGGUGUUGGGGUUGGUGCUGGGUACUGCAGCCCUGCAUUCUUCAUCUGUGGGAUGAGCUGGAUCAGCCCAGCCCAAGCAGGAGCUUCUUGGGCUCUCUCAGCAGGCAGCACUGCCAGGAGCCUGGUUCUGUUUUUUUUUCAGGUAGCUUCUGUGUAGGCACUGAUUGCUGUGGGGGCCCCCGAAGCCAUCUCUUCCCCAGGCUGAACAAACCUGGCUCCCUGUGCUUUUCCUUCCAGAGCAAUUACCCCAAUCCCUGAACGCCUUGCUGGUUCUCUACUGAACUCACUCCAGUUUGUCCAUGUCUUUUCCUGUACUGGGGGGAAGCUAGAUGCAGUAUUCUUCAUAGGGUUUACAAAAUAUGGGUACAGAUGGAUAAUUGCUUCCCUUGACCUACCACCUGCUGUGUAGCUAGCGGUUAGGAUGCCAGUGCAUGCUGCUGGCUCAUGUUUAAUGUCUUGUGUACUGAGAUGCCCCAGCUCUCUUCGUAAGAGGAGCUGGAGAGCCAGGAGUGGUGAGGUGCUUGAACAGAACCCUGUGCUGCCCUGAUAGGUAUUUCAGGCUGCUGUUGUGGCACAGAUACCACAGGGACAUUCCCUUGGCUAGCGUGAGUUUAAAAACAAUGUGGUUUUGGAGGACUUGACUUGCAAAAUUGUUAAUAUGGGGACGGUGACAUUGGAGUGAGGCCUGAAAGAGGAGGGCUGGGCAAGGCAAGGCCAUGUGGUGUACUGCUGCCACUGCACUGGCAUGGCUGACAGUUGUCCAGGUUCUGAGACAAGAGCGGGUUGGCCUUGCUAAUAAGCUCUGCAGGCAGGCCCUGCUCCCAGGUCUCAAAAAGCAUGCAGAUCCUCAACCUUUUCUUGUCCUCUGCAUAUUCUGUGGAGAUGGAUGCUCCUUCUGCCCAACGCUGUCCUCCAAAGCUGUUUCUUGUGAGAGAAAACUGCAAACCCAGCAUAGCUUUUACCCUCGGACAGGUCUUUGGCUUCCCGGACACAAAGUGCACUGCUCACAUUCUCCCCAGUUUCCCUCCAGGCAGCUGUCCUCAAUCUGCCAGUGCCCCUCAGCAUCUGCCCGCCUACCUGUGCGGGGUGCAGCCUGCAGGAUUCCCCUUGAAGCUCUCAUUCCUCCUUACAUCUGUAUUCUUUGAUGUUCGGCAGCCUCGCCCUUCCUGUUAACACUCUUAUCAGAGCCCACAGCUGCACUCCCCUGCUGUUGGCACAGGGAAGGGAGGCAGUUCUGCACUGCAGUCUGAUGGGCUUCGGUGUGGGUGGUAGGAGCAGUGUGAUGAGAAAGGAGCACGUGUGGGGAGAGGGCCUGGAGGAAUAUUCUUGUUACUUGUCCUUGCAGCAGCCUCAGAGGGGGAGGAAGCCUCGCUCCCAGCAGGGGUGAUCCUGGCCCAUCCCAGUAACCACCCUCUGUAGUAGUGCUGUCCAUUGUGGGUUUGGGCAGAGGUAGGCGCUGAUCCCGGGUCCAUCCCCAGGUGGCAGAUGAGAGCGGUGGCUCAGAGAGCUCCCUGCAGAUGGUGGAGUGCCUCCUCACACCGUGCUGUCUGUACCUCGUGCUGCCAGCUUCAGAGAUUGUAAGGCCUGAAGUGACUGUUCAGCUAUCCGGGGGCCCCGUGUAACUCCAAGUGAGAAAUGCCAUUAUCUUCUUUAGCCGGUAAUGAACUCGGUAUCUCUCAGCUGAUGUAUUUUCCAUGACAGGACGGAGGAUGCUAGGAGGCAGAGCAGAUGGCACUUCCCUGGUUGCGUGGCCCAGCGCCGUGUCUCCUAUUUGCACUUGCUUGACUACAAGCUCCAGCCUCUUUUCUUCACAGAGUUAAAGAGCUCUUUCACACCAAGUAUUUUCUCUCUGUGAAGUGCUUACAAUCAAAUCACCUCUCAGGCUCCCUUUUUGGUGCGAUAACAGACUGAACUCUUUCAUUCUGUCUCUGGCAAGUGUUUUCUCCAGCCUCCAAAUCACAUUUGUCAUUCUUCUGUACAUCCUACAUUUAUUUUUUUUUCAAAAUCCCUUUAGAAAUGUGGGCUUCAGAACGGAUCGUCAGCGCCAUCCCACUCACCACCACCGUCCUCAUCUCUGAGCUUGCUGCCACUGCUUUCCCCACUGAGAGCGUGUGCAGGAGACGGAGUGCUCUGUGUAGAGCAAAAAGGACUCCGUGGUCCGUGAAUGACUGAUUUCCCCUCUACUUGAUGUUAGCCCAAGUGGGUCGGUCUCAUUGUCAUCGCCCACUGAGGUUCUUCCAAGGGGCUGUCCCACCAGGUUGGUGGGUCCUGGAGGAUAAGAGAACAAAGAGCAGUGAGUUUUUGCUGGGAAUUGCAUGUUCUUUUGUUCCCAUCAUCAGUACAUGACCUUUGGAUUAGCUGCCUUCCCCACUGCCACAUCUUCCAUGGAAAAACAAGCAAAGGGAAUCUUUUAAACAGAGAAGAGGAGGAGAAGGCAUCAGACCAGAAAAGGGCAGAGAAAACAAGGGAUGAGAAUGGUGAGGGAUGCAGUUGGGUAUGUAGCUAGAGGGCACGAAUGCAAGAACUCAUUCUGUCCAGCACUGAAAGGGCUUUGGUGGGACACAAAACUGUCCUACAAGACACCCCAUCUAGCAUAAGUAUCCCUGCUAUCUUAAUUGCUCUUAAACUUCUCAGCCUUGCAGGACCCGGUGAUUGCUUUAUCAUUGCUGCUUGCAUUAACAGACAGUAGUGGGCACCUGUGCUAAAGAGCCUGCUUUAGAUUACUGCUGAAUGCAGAUGAAACUCUCCACAGCUGGGAGAUUACGUGGGGGAGGAGUGGUAAUGCUUAUGUUUACUCUGUCUUUCCAGCAGGUGCUCCUCUUCCCCCAGGGCUGAAGCGUUUUUGGUGUUUGUUUCUCGUGCCUUAAAUCUGCACUGGCACCAGCCAGGGCUCCAUGGGAAGCGUAGCUGUGUGCUUCUCAGGAGCACAGAGAACAGGCGCAGCUCACGCAGUGCUCAUCUCUAUUCUUUGUCACGUGGAUGUUUCUUACAGAAGCUUCUGCUAAAAAUCUUAGCUCGAUUGGUGAAGGUGUGAGAGGGAUUUGGUCCUUGGUUGUUCCCUUAGCCUCACGUGCCACCAGUUGUGGGGGCUCUCCCCCUAGCAUACAGCUCCCUUGGCUCCUGCUGCAUCAGCACUCCCUGUGCACUGGGCCCAGCCCCCUUCUGUUGCCAUUCGUUAUUUCUGAUCCAAUAAAUAACAGUACAGUGAGGGACUGAUUUAGAUUGUGGUAGGAGCCCUAAUGUCAGGAAAGAAGGAGAAGCGGAGAGUCUCUGCAGAGGGAGAGCACUGGGCUGCGUGAUGGAAGCACAGAGGGUUGGCUGCAAACACCUGGGGAUAAACCAUGCUGGCAUCUCAGAGUGCAGCAGCCUGGCGGAUCCCAGGUGGAGAGGAGGAGUUCUGCAAGGCCUUUGUAGGCUUCACUACAGGACUCCUGUCCCACAGUUCUGUUUGAGAGCCAUACCUUGAGCAGUAACAAAUUGACCUGAGCUGCUCUGCUCACCCUUUGCUCUGUCUCUGCAGGCUGCAGUGCUCUGGCAGAAGCCCAUGAGAGGCACCCAGUGACUGCUCCAGGGGACUGCAGCAGCCGUCCCAUUGCCACGGACGUCCAGUGCUCACAUGAGUGGCAAGAGUAGGUGCAGAAGGAGUUAAACAGUGCUGGGAAAAUUGGUAUUUAAUCCAGUACUGUCCCUUCUAGCAAACCUAGAUGGGAAAAUGCCUCCCUGUUGGAAACGGUGCUUCUCAGAAAUGGAAAUGCAGGGUGGCUGGGGAUUAGGGUGCCUAUCGCUGGAAAUGGGUUUCUUAUCGUCUCUCUGUGUUGAAUUGGUGGGACAGCCUCUGAAAAUUGAAUUGCCUUCCCUGUUUCUGUCUCUGCCAUUGCAUCCCUCCUGUGCUGUAGCUUUGCACUUGCUUUCCUGCCUCUGGUCUCCCUUGUCCCUACGCUCAGCAGAGCAGUGUCUGUCUGCAAGGCGUUCGUGUCUGUGGAGAGGGACGGUGCUGCAGUGGGCUGUGGGCAGGGCUGGCUGCACUGGGAGGGCUUUGUCCAUGGGACUCCCAAGGCUGGGAUGCCAACCCUUUCCACGCUUCCUUCCAACCCUGCAAGGACAGCAGAGGCAAAGCGUGAUAGGGGGCAGCAUGCGAGGAGGCUUGGAAUGAUCAGAGGACAUCAGGCACAACUGGAAAGGAGCACUGGUGGUGAGGAGCUGGGGGAGAGACCAGUCUGAACAUGCAGCAGGAAAGAGACUGACUUCUCAUGAGACAAGAAGCAGCCUUGAUCCCAGGGCUUUGCUGCACCAUGCAGAGGUGUGGCAUCCCACAUCUUUGGCUGUGACUGCAGUGGCCAUUCCUCCUCUUUCCUGCUUGCAGCUUGUCUGUCUGUGGUGAGAAGCACGCAUGUCACAGGCAUCAGUCAGUCUGUACACAGCUCUGUGCUGCUCUCAGACCCACACAGCACGGCUGUUCAGUGCCCCAACCUGCAGCCAUGGUGCUGCACCUGAGUUUGCUCACUGCCCUUGUAUCUUUCUCUGCCACCUGUGGAGCUUGCAAAGAAAAAAUGAUGGAGUGGACAUUAUGGGAGCCAGCACAGAGCUGUCCCGGUGUCACCUGUGGCUACUGAGGGUCACCCAGCUAGGCUGCACCUCACCUGGAUGUGCAUUUUGUCACCCGGGGCUCUCACAGCCCCUCAGGUGUGGUCAUGUGUUUAACAACUAUUAAAACAAUUUCUGUUCCAUUUUGGGCUGAAGCUGAUAAAUCAAGGUGACUUUGGGGAGAGAAAUAAUUCCUUUCCUUAGAUUUGCAUAAUCCUGGCUGGUGAUAUGAUAAUGGUGUUUGUUAAAGACAGGACACAAUAAAUUAAUACUGUUAAGUUGUUGCUGCAAACUACGAAGCAGAUAAUUUAUUGUGGGUGCAAAGGAGAGUGAGUGCUGCAGGCACGGCCAUAGCCUCUGUCCUCAGCUUUCACCACGUGCACCUGGGUUCAGCUCUUGUCCUGCAGCACCACACGUGAGGAGGAGCUGGUGUGAUGCACAGGUAGAGAGGGGUGCUUGGUAGAGGUGCAUUGGAGCCUCACUCAUUCCCUGGGCUGCUGCUGCAGCUCCAGAGCCAUCCUUGCAUGUCAUAUCCCACUGGAAUCCUAAUGCACCAUUUAUCUCUGCAGCUUCACAGCUCUAUUAGAAGGAAGAUGCUGUGUGGGAGCCAGAGCAGGGUUUCAAGCUAAUUGGAUUCUGUGUCUCCGUGGUUUCCCAUGUAGGCAGGCAACAGGGAUUAGUGCAGUGUUUCUGAGGAACAGAGGAGAGUUGAGGAUGACCUGCAUGGGGAUUUCCUCCUGCACAACCCCUGCUGCUAGCAAAGGACUUUUUAAACAGGCUGUUGAGGUGGAAGGGCUGGGAGCAGCAUGUCCUUAAUCUUUGGUAGCGUUGCUGCCUGAAUUUCAUGUUCUCUUCCUAAUUCUUUGAGCCAGGUACCAUUCACUUUCUAGGGAAUAAACCAGCUCAACCAGCCUCCAAGCACAAACAAGCCUGGCGCUGUUCUGGUCUCUCCUGCUAACCCCUUUGUAGGGGAAACCAGAUGGAAAUCAAACUGUCGGUGUCUCCUGAGCACAACUAACCACCUGCCCGAGUUACACUCCUUUGCCUCCCUGCUCCCCUUCCCAAGCCUAGCUGCUGGCUGGAAGCAGUGCACAUCAGAUAUCCAUCCUCCCCGAGUUCCUAGUCUGCCAGGGCAGGAACGGAAUUCACCUCAUUAACAUAGAUUUAUUCCUGUAUAAACAUUUCAUUGCUUUAAUUGCAAACCAGCCAUACUGCAGGCAGUGGUGGCAGUGCCUCCAUUUACACUGAGCAUUGGAGACAGCAGAGUACGUAUGGCACAUGGCUGAGCGCAUACAGGUAGGACGUGCCACGGUGUCUGCAUGCAGAAGUGUGUGCUGUGCAAUGCAGAGUCGGCUGGUCUGGGUUAGUGGCCCUUCUUCCUGGCAGUAGUGAGGCCCUGGGGCCCCAUCCAGCUGAGCACCAGUGCAGGAGGAUGCACCCAGGCAACGGUCUGCUGGACUGACAGCUCUGUAGGUGCAGAGGGGUACCGGUUCCUGACAGCCUGCUGCUGCAUUUCAUGCUCUCUGCUCUCCCCCAUUCUCACCCAAACGUUAAUUUUACGGAUGCCUUUAUAAAUCUCGCCGUUUUUUCCUGUUCAUGGGCUUCAUAGAUUUCAUCAUGCUGAGAGAUGGCACUUCUGGCCUCUGGUACCAAGCUAUCAAUUUAAUACUCUGAGUGUAAUAAAAAACAUGGGAUGGUAUUAACUCCCAAUUACUCUGCUGCUCCUUGCUGUAACUCCUUCUGUUCCAUCUGAAAGCCUGGGAUGCAGAGUACGUGCAGCAGCUGCUGGCAGAGCCACGGGCUGAGGGCAGCCAGCACCUCCCAGCUUGGAAGUGCCCAUUUCCCAAACUGCGAGCUGCUCUCCUGCUUGCCAAGAAUACAGAGGUGUCCCUACCUUUGUCAGACCAGACCACGUGGAUGUUGAGAUGGCUGCCUUUCAGAGAGCGCUUUUCCAGGUCUGUUGAGUAAAUACAGACCUGGAAGAGUCAUUUUUUUUCUAUUCUGUCCCAUGAAGUCGGGACAUCCCUCACACAGAAGGCUCCUACAGCAGCCCAGCCGUGGGGUGCAGGCGCCCAGUGAGUGCCCAGGUCCCAGCUGACCUAUCACUCGACAAGCAACAGCAGAUGGAUGUGAAAAGCCUUUACGUUCAGCACAUGAUCAAUGCUAAACCGAUCUCCUGGAGUCCUUUAUAAGAUUGCCCCAGCCUCAUGCAUCCAAUUGUAACAAAAAAAUCACUCGGCACGCUGGGGAGAUGUGAGAAACGCUGUAGAUCCCAUUUAGGAUGCAAAGAGCCAGAGUAAGUAACUCCACAUUGUUUCUCGCAGUAAAUAAUUCAUCCAGCUUACAUUUUGGUUUAUUGCCCCUGCCCCCAUCAGCUCCCUUCUACCAGUUUCCUUCUUCUGUCCUGAAAUUCCCUCUCUGGGUCACUUCUGUCACUGUGAGUCCCCACCACACACGUGUGUGUGCUUGUGCACGCGCAGCGGCACAGAUCUGACCCAGUUCAGCUUCUGCUGGUUGCCGUUGAUCGGGGCCAGCAGUGCUGGGGCAGAGAUGCUGCCUUUUCACCCGGCUUCCUCACCCCGGGCUCUUCCCCAGCGCUGCUUUUACACGGUGUCAGGACGCGUUAAUGAAAACGUUUGGAAUGCGUUAGCAAUGCUAAUAGUAUUGCUGUACUAAUUAGGAAUGCCAUUUGAACGAACUCUCGCUUAACGAUACAAAUUACCAGCCAGCCAGGCGCGGAGCGAGGGCUGCAGCUGCUGCAUGGAGAGCAGCGAUUACGGGGUGCGAAGCUCUGGCACGGGGCCUGGCAGCAGAAUGAGGCCCUGGGCUUCUCCGUGCUGUCGGAGCCAGGAGGAACCCUGCAGUGCAUCUGGGCCAGGGUGCGUGGUGGGCUCUGCCCUGAUUGCACGGCCUUCCUGGUGCGAGCUCCGGUGGUACUGCUGAACCAGAUGGUCUGUGUGUCAAUGCAAGUUGCUACGGCUGCAAAAAGAGCAGGUUGAUGUGAGCCCCCGCCAUGGGAAGGAGCUUGUGUCUGGCCUGUUAGCGGUGGCAAGGCUUGUACUGCAGCUCCGAAGCCCUUGGCAGCACAGUGGCUCCUGGGGCAUCCUGCUUCUGGGAAGCUUGGUGGAAAGGGCUGAUUACAAAUAGGCAGGUGUCCCCAGAGCUGAAAACUGUAGUCAGGAAGAGCAUUGCUUGCAUACCCCUGUCCCCAGCCUGCUCCUGCAUAUUGCUCGUGGCCACUCUGAAGACGCAGCAUGGACGGAAAAGACUCUCCCAGCAGAAACCAUUUGGUGCCUGAGGAAACCGGAGCCCUGCAGACACCUUCCAGGGAGUGGAUUUGUUGGGACAGGCGGAAGCUCACCUUCAGGAGCGGAUCUUCAGACCUCGUGCAACCCUCUCCAUUGGCUGUUCUGCUGCUCCUUCCAGCCCGGCAGCAGGUAACCUUUUGGAGAGAAAUGAUCCCAGCAUCAAUGUGAUAUUUUGCGUGCUGUCCCCUUGGGAAUCGGUGCCAGUGAGCGUUCACCGGUGCUCCCAAGACGUAGAGCUCAGUCUGGGUCUGGAUCCGGAGCAGUGGAGAUGGAGAGCUAAAGCGCUACAGCAAGAGGAUGCACAAAGCUCUUGAGACUCGAUGCCGCUGGCUGGAGGCGUUGCUGUAUGGCCCAGGGCACAGCAGCGGUGCCCCCGGGUGCCUGCUGCUCACCCUGUCCCCAGCGGUCGGCUCCUGGCAGCUGCAGAGUACGUUUCCAGCCCUGAGAUGGAGUGUUUCUCCCUCAUCAGUCCAGUUUGGUUCAGGGGUGAUGGAGCCCUCGCAGCAGGAGUGAGCUGAGGCUGCUGGGCAGCCAGGCUGCUGGAGCAUGACUUUUUAAAUGCUUUCCAUUACAGCUCUCUGUAGCUCGUGUCUCUGCGGAGCUGCUUUCUGCACAGCAGGGGGAUGGAACUAGGUGAUCCUGAAGGUCCCUUCCAACCCGAGCCGUGCUGUGAUUCUAUGGUCUCACAAACAGGAGCUUUCAGAGUACGUUGCUGCAAGAGCAGCUCUGGGCUCCUUGAAUGUGUCCCUGGGAAGAGCUGCUCUGCACCUUGGUUUGGGGACCCCUAUCACCUCUGCAAAGGCUGUGCCAGGGUUCUGGCAGUGGGGAGGGAGAGGGCAGUCUCCUAUGGAGCAGGACGGCUUUUCAGCCUAUCUUUGCCCAGCUCUGCUCCCUCUCUACCUAUCUCCAGCUAUUUCCUUACCACAACAACAUCACAGAGGGAACACAAGGGGCUGCAAGGAGUUGGAAGAGUUGUCAGAACUGAGCAUCCAGGCCCACCAAGCCCAGGACCUUCCUCAGCCCCAGGUUCCCUCAUCUUUGUACUACUCGCUCAUGCUCAGAGAGCUGCCGGCGCGCUGCUUGCACCCAGCAUCCCCAUCCUGGCCUGGCUCCUGUCCUGAAUAUAUUUUUAUAUGUUAUGACUCAGAGGUUUUUAAAUUUAAUGGGUUCUUUUUUUCUUGCUUGCUUCUUAGCACCUGAACUGGAUCCUCUCUGAGCUGCUGCCAGCUCCAAGGGAUUACAAGUGAAUAAUUCAGGUUCGAUGCCGUUUGAAGUUUCAGGGAAGGAAGUGGCAUGUGAAGCCUGCUCCCCACACCUGUCCCAGGGCCACGCUGCUCCAAAGGCAAUCUGAAGAACACCCUGAGGAGCCACACUCUGAACAUUUCUGUGUGGAUGUUGCCUUCCGAGCUCCUGGCAGCCUCGACUGAGGCUGUUUGUACAGGCUGCAGCUCUGCACAGGGGCAGCUCCCCAGCACCAGAGGAUUGCUGCAAGGCUUGAGAGUGCCGUGGAAUGAAGCGCAGCAUCCUGCUUGCCAGCCCAGGUCCAGGAGGGGUUAAAUGCCGGACUGCUGUGUCUGUUCCAGCUGCAGUGAAGCAUAGAGAAGGCAAUGGACAAACAUGACCUGCUGUAAACGAAUUUACAACUGAACGUAAGUCAAAAGCUGAAUGGCUGUCAGAAGCUGGGAGUUCUUCCGUGACAAAGAUGGUGGGAGCCACAUCCAUGGGCACUCAUGUUUGGCAGCUUGUUCUCAGAUGGCCUUCAGAGAGGUUUCCACAAGCAGAAGUUUGUGUUAAGUCAGGGAGAGGGAGGGAUAGCACAGAGCUUCUCUUAGGAUUUCAGAAAGGCUCCCAGGGACCUUUGAAGGGAUGGCGAUGAUCAUAGAGGGACUAUACUUUGUCUCAAGGGGUCCCUGCUGCUAGGAAAUGCCUCUGGGAGUCUGUCCUAGACGAGGCAGUGCUUUCCUGCACCACUGCUCAGACACUGCUCUUUCCAAACAGCACUCACGGGUCACCUAUCACCAUUAAAACUGCUAUGGCACUGGUGGCAGAGCCAGGAGGAAUGAGGUACUGGGAGCUGCUAUCAGCCAGUGGCUUUGUGCUGCUCUGGGAAGAUCACUUGGUGCGCAUUGCUCUGCUGCUGAACUUCAGAGGGGGAGCUGAGUUUGGGUUUGCUGCUGCCGGCUACAAGAGGCACCUGUGAUCCUCAGGCUGUGGGCUGCAGGCAUGGCUGGAGGAGGGAAGGGGUUUGCAGCGCACCGAGAGAUGGAGACCACAGAGCGUUUGGCUGAGGUGCUCAUCUCUGUUGAGCACAGAGCUCAUCUCUGCUCGGCUCUGCAACCCCGCGGGGUCAGGAGGCAGAGCUGACAUCCCUCACUGCAUCCCAGGGAGGUGUGCUCCCAUCAGUGCUCUCCAUGGCCCGUGUUUGCACAGCGCCAGGUGUUGCUGCUUCUUGAGACGAGGGACACAGAAAGAUACGCUGGGAAAUUAUUUUUAACCUCCUGCAAUUUACUGUUCAGAAGGAUGUCACAUUUGUCAGGGCUGGUUCACAGCAGCCGCGGCGAAGGCAAUCUUUCCCUCAUAUACACACUUCUUUUUGUAAGGUGGCUCUCACAAAAUGUAAGUAUGAUCUUUGAUGGCUUCUGAGAGCUGUUGGAAGAACUAACAAGCAUAUCACAGGGUCCGGCAUUAAACCCUUCCCUGCUGGGGUGCAGUUGAGAAUGGAAACUAUCAGGCAGUUUGAGAUCCAUUUAACAGCAAUUAGUGCAGAUGAAAGAAACGCUGACGUGGAAGUGCCAGUCUCUGUGCGUAGGGUCAGGGGAGGAGAAAAACAUGGAGGAGAAAAUACAAACGUGCCAAAAUGUGGUUAUGUAUCCCAUGAAACAACGACUCCUUCUAACUUUUUCCAUGCGAGCAGAAGCCAAUCAGUCUGUGACAUGAUUGAAGACCUGCAGUAAAGCCAUGGAGCUGACAGAAUUGGGAUUCUGUAUGUGGUAUGAAAGGAAAGGCAAGCAUCCAAUGAACGAGAGCCAGGAGCUGCCACAGCAGAAGUCUGGAUGAGAGGACUGUGCUUUGGAGAGGAGAAAUCAACUCUGGCAGGAGAUAUGGAGCACCUACGGAAAGCAGGAGUAUUUCCCAGGAAAAUCCCAAGUCAAAGCAAACGUGGCCCCAAAGUACAUCCUGACAAAUGUGACUCAGUGUGUCCUUCAAGGCUGCGUCUCCUGGAGGACUCUGUGGGUAAAAGUAUACCGUGGGCUUUAUGUUGAGAAGUGGUGUAUGAAAUGCGGAGGUGAGGUUGGCUUCAGAGGGCAGGGGGGGUUGGCAGGGUGGUAGCCCUGGAAAAAGGAAAGGAAGGAAUACACAACAGCUGAACUUCGUUCCGUGGGCACAGGGCACGGUAGGCUACAUUUCAGUCUGUUCUAAAAGCACCUACACUGGUAGGUCCUACACUUGGGAAGUAAGAGGGAAGACACAGUUUUGCUGUUUGGAAAUAGUAAUGUUUGUUAUAAGGUUAGGAUUAUUCCCUGGAUCCCGGUAACCGAGUGAGCUCGGCGUGCUCACUUGUGCUGUGCCUUUGGGGAGGCUUGGGUUCCUGCAGCUGCACGCGCUUAUCAGGAAGUGAUACACAGGGAAACCUGUUAGCAGCCACAGAAGAACAACGCACGGCACGAGGAAAGUGUAUCUCAAAGGGAACUCUCUGAGCGGGGCUGUAGGAAUUCACCAGGCAUGCACAGACGUCUGUUAAAAGGCGGUGGAUCGGAUGGUGACGGCUGGACAGGGUUUGCAUAGAGGGGAUUGGGUGUUGGGAAGGAUGGGCUCUCAUGCUGUACCUGCAGAUGCAGGCUCUGGACAGGGGCUCCUUCACCAGCAGUGCUGGGGCUUUGCUGCUCCCUCCCAGCCACGUUCUUUUUGAGGUUGAUGAGCUCGGCCAUUACGGCUCCAGCCUACUUCAAAAGUGGUCACAUUGCCAUGCCUUGCUGGGAUGUGAGUCCAAAGACCGUCCAAG
This is a long non-coding RNA of Gallus gallus (chicken), 13635 nucleotides long. The record is from Ensembl. NCBI's taxonomy places the organism in Eukaryota, Metazoa, Chordata, Aves, Galliformes, Phasianidae.